UGACUUUUGUUGUGGCACAGUGGCUAAAGCGUCUGCCUCGGAAGCAGGAGUUUGUGGGUUCGAACUCCAGCCGAGUCAA
This is a non-coding RNA of Potamilus streckersoni, 79 nucleotides long. The record is from the annotation of a GenBank genome assembly. NCBI's taxonomy places the organism in Eukaryota, Metazoa, Mollusca, Bivalvia, Unionida, Unionidae.